CGGGGUGCAGCAGGCGCGAAAACUUUACCAUGCUGGCAACAGCGAUAAGGGGACCUCGAGUGCCAGGAUACAAUCUUGGCUGUCGCGAUGCCUAAAAAGCAUUGCAUAGCAAGGGCCGGGCAAGACCGGUGCCGGCCGCCGCGGUAACACCGGCGGCUCGAGUGGUAACCGCUAUUAUUGGGUCUAAAGGGUCUGUAGCCGGCCGGAUAAGUCUUUUGGGAAAUCCAGCUGCUCAACAGUUGGGCUUUCAGAAGAUACUGUUCGGCUCGAGACCGGGAGAGGUGAGAGGUACUUCAGGGGUAGGGGUGAAAUCUUGUAAUCCUUGAAGGACCACCAGUGGCGAAGGCGUCUCACCAGAACGGAUCUGACGGCAAGGGACGAAAGCUGGGGGCACGAACCGGAUUAGAUACCCGGGUAGUCCUAGCCGUAAACGAUACUCGCUAGGUGUCAGCCACGGUGCGACCGUGGUUGGUGCCGUAGGGAAGCCGUGAAGCGAGCCACCUGGGAAGUACGGCCGCAAGGCUGAAACUUACAGGAAUUGGCGGGGGAGCAC
This 553-nucleotide ribosomal RNA is filed under the name uncultured archaeon. Its description in RNAcentral is "bacterial SSU rRNA". It matches the Rfam family "Archaeal small subunit ribosomal RNA", at positions 326 to 879 of the family's 1478-position model. The record is from RNAcentral.